GUGAGGGGAGUGAAAUAGAACCUGAAACCGUGUGCAUACAAGCAGUCGGAGCCCCGCUACUUAAUUAUUUUGGAA
Molecule: ribosomal RNA, 75 nt
Filed under: Salmonella enterica subsp. enterica serovar Thompson
Lineage: Bacteria; Pseudomonadati; Pseudomonadota; Gammaproteobacteria; Enterobacterales; Enterobacteriaceae
Also listed under: 6 other names
Description: partial 23S ribosomal RNA
Source: RNAcentral